AGUGAACGCUGGCGGUAGGCCUAACACAUGCAAGUCGAACGGCAGCACAGUAAGAGCUUGCUCUUACGGGUGGCGAGUGGCGGACGGGUGAGGAAUACAUCGGAAUCUACUUUUUCGUGGGGGAUAACGUAGGGAAACUUACGCUAAUACCGCAUACGACCUACGGGUGAAAGCAGGGGAUCUUCGGACCUUGCGCGAUUGAAUGAGCCGAUGUCGGAUUAGCUAGUUGGCGGGGUAAAGGCCCACCAAGGCGACGAUCCGUAGCUGGUCUGAGAGGAUGAUCAGCCACACUGGAACUGAGACACGGUCCAGACUCCUACGGGAGGCAGCAGUGGGGAAUAUUGGACAAUGGGCGCAAGCCUGAUCCAGCCAUACCGCGUGGGUGAAGAAGGCCUUCGGGUUGUAAAGCCCUUUUGUUGGGAAAGAAAAGCAGCAGGUUAAUAACCCGCUGUUCUGACGGUACCCAAAGAAUAAGCACCGGCUAACUUCGU
This 491-nucleotide ribosomal RNA is filed under the name uncultured bacterium. RNAcentral's name for it is "partial 16S ribosomal RNA". It matches the Rfam family "Bacterial small subunit ribosomal RNA", at positions 29 to 506 of the family's 1533-position model. The record is from RNAcentral.